GGAGUGGGUCGGGUGACCGCGGGCGUUCUGCAAGGACGCCUGAGGAAAGUCCGGGCUCCACAGGGCAAGGCGCUGGAUAAUCCCCAGUAGGGGCGACCCUCAGGAUAGUGCCACAGAAAUGAAGACCGCCGUCCGCCUUCGGGAGGUCGGCAAGGGUGCAACGGUGGGGUAAGAGCCCACCAGCAGCGCGGUGACGCGCUGGCUAGGUAAACCCCGUCUGGAGCAAGACCCACGAAGGGUCGGGUUCGUUCGCCCACGGGCGCUCGGACCCGCCGGUGGCCCGCCGGACCCCCUUCUAGGAAGGUCGCAAGAGGGGCGUGGCGACACGUCUCCCAGAGAGAUGGUCACCCCCGGGGCCGUGAGGUCCUCGGGACAGAACCCGGCUUACAGACCCGCUCCUUUU
RNAcentral lists this RNase P RNA (403 nucleotides) under Spirochaetaceae bacterium. RNAcentral describes it as "RNase P RNA component class A". It matches the Rfam family "Bacterial RNase P class A". From Rfam's summary of the family: Ribonuclease P (RNase P) is a ubiquitous endoribonuclease, found in archaea, bacteria and eukarya as well as chloroplasts and mitochondria. Its best characterised activity is the generation of mature 5'-ends of tRNAs by cleaving the 5'-leader elements of precursor-tRNAs. Cellular RNase Ps are ribonucleoproteins. The record is from RNAcentral. Lineage: Bacteria; Pseudomonadati; Spirochaetota; Spirochaetia; Spirochaetales; Spirochaetaceae.